AACGAACGCUGGCGGCAUGCCUAACACAUGCAAGUCGAACGAGACCUUCGGGUCUAGUGGCGCACGGGUGCGUAACGCGUGGGAAUCUACCCUUGGGUUCGGAAUAACAGCUAGAAAUGGCUGCUAAUACCGGAUGAUGUCUUCGGACCAAAGAUUUAUCGCCCAGGGAUGAGCCCGCGUAGGAUUAGCUUGUUGGUGAGGUAAAGGCUCACCAAGGCGACGAUCUGUAGCGGGUCUGAGAGGAUGAUCCGCCACACUGGAACUGAGACACGGUCCAGACUCCUACGGGAGGCAGCAGUGGGGAAUUUUGGACAAUGGGCGCAAGCCUGAUCCAGCCAUGCCGCGUGAGUGAAGAAGGCCUUCGGGUUGUAAAGCUCUUUCAGCCGGGAAGAAAACGCAUGGGUUAAUACCCUGUGUGGAUGACGGUACCGGAAUAAGAAGCACCGGCUAACUACGUG
RNAcentral lists this ribosomal RNA (458 nucleotides) under uncultured bacterium. RNAcentral describes it as "bacterial SSU rRNA". It matches the Rfam family "Bacterial small subunit ribosomal RNA", at positions 29 to 507 of the family's 1533-position model. The record is from RNAcentral.